GCCUUAGUGGUGUAGAGGUAGCACAUUUGGUGCAUAUUCAAGAGGUCCAGGUUCGAGUCCCAGCGAGGGCA
Molecule: transfer RNA, 71 nt
Filed under: Stegodyphus mimosarum
Lineage: Eukaryota; Metazoa; Arthropoda; Arachnida; Araneae; Eresidae
Rfam family: tRNA
About the family: Transfer RNA (tRNA) molecules are approximately 80 nucleotides in length. Their secondary structure includes four short double-helical elements and three loops (D, anti-codon, and T loops).
Source: Rfam by way of RNAcentral